GCCGUAGCUCUAUGGCAGAGCACCCACUUUGCAUGCAGAAAGUCCCAGGUUCAAUUCCUGGCAGCAUCU
Non-coding RNA from Podarcis lilfordi (Lilford's wall lizard), 69 nucleotides. NCBI's taxonomy places the organism in Eukaryota, Metazoa, Chordata, Lepidosauria, Squamata, Lacertidae. The record is from the annotation of a GenBank genome assembly.